GAUGAACGCUAGCUACAGGCUUAACACAUGCAAGUCGAGGGGUAGCAUGUCGGUUGCUUGCAACCGAUGAUGGCGACCGGCGCACGGGUGAGUAACGCGUAUCCAACCUACCCUUGUCCAUCGGAUAACCCGUCGAAAGGCGGCCUAACACGAUAUGCGGUUCACAGCGGGCAUCUAACGUGAACGAAAUGUGAAGGAGAAGGAUGGGGAUGCGUCUGAUUAGCUUGUUGGCGGGGUAACGGCCCACCAAGGCGACGAUCAGUAGGGGUUCUGAGAGGAAGGUCCCCCACAUUGGAACUGAGACACGGUCCAAACUCCUACGGGAGGCAGCAGUGAGGAAUAUUGGUCAAUGGACGGGAGUCUGAACCAGCCAAGUAGCGUGCAGGAUGACGGCCCUAUGGGUUGUAAACUGCUUUUAUAGGGGGAUAAAGUGUGCCACGUGUGGCAUAUUGCAGGUACCCUAUGAAUAAGGACCGGCUAAUUCCGUG
RNAcentral lists this ribosomal RNA (488 nucleotides) under uncultured bacterium. RNAcentral's name for it is "bacterial SSU rRNA". It matches the Rfam family "Bacterial small subunit ribosomal RNA", at positions 28 to 507 of the family's 1533-position model. The record is from RNAcentral.